RNAcentral lists this ribosomal RNA (512 nucleotides) under uncultured archaeon. RNAcentral's name for it is "bacterial SSU rRNA". It matches the Rfam family "Archaeal small subunit ribosomal RNA", at positions 108 to 622 of the family's 1478-position model. The record is from RNAcentral.
CCUACCCUCGGGUGGGGGAUAACCUCGGGAAACUGAGGCUAAUACCCCAUAGGCCUCGGACACUGGAAGGUUCCGAGACCGAAAGCUCCGGCGCCCGAGGAUGGGUCUGCGGCCUAUCAGGUAGUUGGUGGUGUAAAGGACCACCAAGCCUACGACGGGUACGGGCCCUGAGAGGGGGAGCCCGGAGAUGGACUCUGAGACACGAGUCCAGGCCCUACGGGGCGCAGCAGGCGCGAAACCUUCGCAAUGCGCGAAAGCGCGACGAGGGGAGCCCGAGUGCCCUUCCUUUCGGGAGGGCUUUUCUGGAGCCUAAAAAGCUCCAGGAAUAAGGGCUGGGCAAGACGGGUGCCAGCCGCCGCGGUAAUACCCGCAGCUCGAGUGGUGACCACUAUUAUUGAGCCUAAAGCGUCCGUAGCCGGACCCGUAAAUCCCUGGGUAAAUCCUGGCGCUCAACGUCAGGAAUUCCGGGGAGACUGCGGGUCUUGGGACCGGGAGAGGCCGGAGGUACUCCC